RNAcentral lists this ribosomal RNA (931 nucleotides) under Photobacterium phosphoreum. RNAcentral describes it as "bacterial LSU rRNA". It matches the Rfam family "Bacterial large subunit ribosomal RNA", at positions 823 to 1753 of the family's 2925-position model. The record is from RNAcentral. Lineage: Bacteria; Pseudomonadati; Pseudomonadota; Gammaproteobacteria; Vibrionales; Vibrionaceae.
GAAAGGCCAAUCAAACUCGGAGAUAGCUGGUUCUCCCCGAAAGCUAUUUAGGUAGCGCCUCGGACGAAUACUACUGGGGGUAGAGCACUGUUAAGGCUAGGGGGUCAUCCCGACUUACCAACCCUUUGCAAACUCCGAAUACCAGUAAGUAAUAUCCGGGAGACACACGGCGGGUGCUAACGUCCGUCGUGAAGAGGGAAACAACCCAGACCGCCAGCUAAGGUCCCAAAGUUAUAGCUAAGUGGGAAACGAUGUGGGAAGGCUCAGACAGCCAGGAUGUUGGCUUAGAAGCAGCCAUCAUUUAAAGAAAGCGUAAUAGCUCACUGGUCGAGUCGGCCUGCGCGGAAGAUUUAACGGGGCUAAGCUAUACACCGAAGCUGCGGCAAUGUGACUUGUUCACAUUGGGUAGGGGAGCGUUCUGUAAGCCGUUGAAGGUGCAUUGUAAAGUGUGCUGGAGGUAUCAGAAGUGCGAAUGCUGACAUGAGUAACGAUAAAGGGAGUGAAAAACUCCCUCGCCGGAAGAUCAAGGGUUCCUGUCCAACGUUAAUCGGGGCAGGGUAAGUCGACCCCUAAGGCGAGGCCGAAAGGCGUAGUCGAUGGGAAACGGGUUAAUAUUCCCGUACUUCUUAUAAUUGCGAUGGAGGGACGGAGAAGGCUAGGUGAGCCUGGCGACGGUUGUCCAGGUCCAAGUAUGUAGGCUGAUGGUUUAGGCAAAUCCGGACCAUCUUAAGGCUGAGAUACGAUGUCGAGCUACUACGGUAGUGAAGUCAUUGAUGCCAUGCUUCCGGGAAAAGCUUCUAAGCGUCAGAUUAUAAGAAAUCGUACCCCAAACCGACACAGGUGAUCAGGUAGAGAAUACCAAGGCGCUUGAGAGAACUCGGGUGAAGGAACUAGGCAAAAUGGUACCGUAACUUCGGGAGAAGGUACGCUC